Cyprinus carpio (common carp) is the source of this 405-nucleotide long non-coding RNA. RefSeq lists it as uncharacterized. The record is from RefSeq and is a predicted model, not a curated record. The transcript has 3 exons. NCBI's taxonomy places the organism in Eukaryota, Metazoa, Chordata, Actinopteri, Cypriniformes, Cyprinidae.
CACUAAGUAGGUGAGUCACCUCACAGACGGACCUGUGCCCUUACAAAAAUUCUCCUCGCGAGAGUCUGCGAGAACACGGGCGUCACCCCGCGUCGUUAUUUUCCUUACUCAUCAGUUUAAGGCAUGAGGCUGAGGUGCACGAGCAGCCGCUCCAGGUGGCGAGCGCCCGCGUGCACAGCGACGGUGAGCAGAGGGAGCGCGCGUCUCCUUCAGACAGCAGGCCCAUAUAUGGCAGAGGGGCGGGGGGUCCGUGGGCAGGCCUUCGACGCGCGUCAGAAGAUUGGCAGCAGUGAUGUCAGACAGCGGCUGGGCGGUGGGCGGAGCUACAGGAGCGCUCCAGGUAAAGGAUGCGAGAGAGAAGCUGGGACAGAAAGACGCGCGGGUUUCCGGAUCCAGGGUCGAGGG